UAGAAUUCUUGUUUUGAUUUAGCAUGUCACAUGAUCUUAUAUCAGCCAACAAUUUAUUGAUUUAUUAUGCGAGCAAAUCAGCUGACUGAUCACUCAACUAUUAUGAAUAAAAUAUAUUCUAUUUGGAUAAUAUAUUAAAUAUUAUAUGUUAAAGUAAGGUUUAUGUAAUGGAAAAGCAAUGAAUAUAAUGUUAUUUGAAUAUUUAUUGGUAUCUAAGAAUAUAUGAAAAAACAAGAGUGUACAAAACUCACAUGAAAAGUAAAUGUAUUCAUUAUUAUAUUAGCAUAUAUUAAGAUUCAUUUAAUUGAAAUGCUUAUGGUCUAUUAUAUAAUUUAUUUAAGUAUAAUCUUAUUUAUUAUUGUGUAACAAAAAGCUGAGGAAACCCUGAAUCUUAAAUAGCCAAUUACAUCAUGUCUUACAAAGACUGAAAAACCAAUCAGAUGAGGGCUUACAAAUUUUAGAGGAAGAGAUGAAAAUUUUUCCAAGAAAUGCUCUCUCUGGCUUGUGAUCUCGCCGAUACGGCAGCACAUGAGGAUAGGGCUCUUUUCAAUUAUUUUUUGAAAAGAGCAUCAAGCCAGUCCCUUUCUAAAUGUUCAAGUAUUUAUAAUUAAUGUUUGAUUGUUCAUGAACUCAGUGAAUAUUUAAGAGUUCCUAAUUGUAAAAUUUUCCAUAUAUAUUUAAUACUGAUGGAAAAUUACAUGCGAUUUAGACCAUACCUGAGCCCAGCAAAGUUCAAAGGAUUCGAGUAAUUAAUUAUUCUACAAGAACUUCAGCGAAUGUCAUUUGAUAUUGUUCCAGGAAAGCUGCAAUGAAUUUGUCCAACGUCCUGAAUCCGUGAUGAUGGAUCUGGAGGAAUAACAGAGGUUCACCACCCAACAAACUAGUCAAUCUGAGUCGCCACAUUUCCACGAGAUGUGAUUCUGACUCCUGAAACACUACUGGAUCUGCAGGCUCCUCUUCGCCCCCCUCGAUGUCGACAUCUGCUACCCUGGUAUUCAGUGGUGCGUCGUGGCUUCGAUCUGAGUGGACGACAGUUGCUGUAAACCUUGAGGAUCGAAAACUAUACAACUAACACUUCCGGGUUCCCUCUCCCAUGGCAUAUCAAUGUUGCUCAUUGUGGGAUUCAAUGUACUGGGAGUCGAAAAAGUGGGAUCUGGACAACCGCUGUUUAUAUAUUGUAAUAUUACAAUACUUUGACACUUUUAGAAUUUCAAUUUGUGCGCUGUUAAUGUAGAUCGAUUUUAAUCGAACACAAAAUAUUAAAUAUUGAUAUUUUCUUCAAACAUCGAUAUUCGAUAUCCAUUCAAUAGUUAUUUGGAAAAGAUCCAUUUUUGUUCAAUAAAUUAUUAAAAAACAUUUGAGAAAUAUACAUUUAUUAUCAAAUCUUAAAAUUAUAUACAGCAAUGACUUAGAGCUAACCUGAAUUAAUUGAACUCUAAAAUAUGUGUUUUAUUGGGUUCAGUUGGCAAAGCAAAACUAAUUGUUUUUCAUAUCCAUUUUCUUGUUCUCUUCUGCUAUGGUCUUGGUCUCUUGAAAUGUGCUUGUAACAAUGUCCUGUACUAAAUUUAUUUUAAAGUUUUAUUUCUGCCAACUUCUUGAAACUUAUAUUAAUUUUGUAGUAGAUGUAAACUUAGUGAAAGCAAAAUAUGCUAUGAGUUCUUGUUUUUCUCUUGGUAAUUUUUCUGUAAUUUGUAAAAUGUCUUUCAACCUAACCUCCCGAGCACAUUGUAGGAUUUUCCAUGCAUUAAUAAUAGUUCUGAAUUUUUAGUAUGGUGUUUCUUCAUUAUUAUAAGGUUUUAUUGUUUGUCAUGUUCGAACUCUGUAAUAUACUUCAAAUGUUACAUAUUUCACAGUUAGCAAAAUGCUUUCAAGUCAUUAUAUUAUCCCUUCUCAUAUUAGAAUUAAUUGUUUUAGGAUAAAUUGAUACAGGGCUACUCAUGAUUUAUAUGAAAGGGAACCGAUGUCUUAUCCAAUACAAGUUUUGGCCCGACUGUCCAGUACAGUUUAAUCACCGAAACACCUCAAAUUGUUACCACUGUUGUGGGACCUUACCAAAAUAUAUAUACCCCAAAAUUGAUACCCCAGAAUGUUUUUCUCAGUGAUCAUCAUUAAGUAUAAGAGCCAUGUCUGAUAAAUCAGGAAGUAGUGAUGAUGAAAUGUCUAGAGACACUGUCUUAUUAAAAUACAUCAAGCAAUCUUGAGGAAUUGAGUACUAGUGGAUUACAUAUUUAUGAAAAUACGGUCGGACAUGUAUUUCUAGAUCAGGUUAGCUUUAAUCAAAGUUAUAAUCAACCUAGUAAUGUUG
This 2305-nucleotide long non-coding RNA is filed under the name Nilaparvata lugens (brown planthopper). Its description in RNAcentral is "uncharacterized LOC120351320". The record is from RNAcentral. Lineage: Eukaryota; Metazoa; Arthropoda; Insecta; Hemiptera; Delphacidae.